RNAcentral lists this ribosomal RNA (549 nucleotides) under uncultured eukaryote. RNAcentral's name for it is "SSU rRNA". It matches the Rfam family "Eukaryotic small subunit ribosomal RNA", at positions 319 to 889 of the family's 1831-position model. The record is from RNAcentral.
CUUGAUGGUAGUGUAUUGGACUACCAUGGCUUUUACGGGUUAACGGGGGAUUAGGGUUCGACACCGGAGAGGGAGCCUGAGAAACGGCUACCACUUCUACGGAAGGCAGUAGGCGCGUAAAUUACCCAAUCCUAAUUCAGGGAGGUAGUGACAAGAAAUAAUAGACCGGCGUAAGCCGGGUUUACAAUGAGCCUAAUUUACACAGCUUAGUGAGGAUCCAUUGGAGGGCAAGUCUGGUGCCAGCAGCCGCGGUAAUUCCAGCUCCAAUAGCAUAUAUUAAAAUUGCUGCAGUUAAAAAGCUCGUAGUUGGAUUUCUGUGAGACUUGUUUUGUUCGGCCUGCGGGUCGGGCGAAUCACUUUUCACAUCCUUCUGUUAACCUUACACUCCUUCACCGGUGUGUCUGUGGGCUCAGAUACUUUACCUUGAGUAAAUUAGAGUGUUUCAGGCAAGCUUUCGCUUGAAUACAUUAGCAUGGAAUAAUAGAAAAGGACUUCGUUUCAUUUCAUUGGUUAUGAGCGGAGUAAUGAUUAAUAGGGAUAGUUGGGGGC